AACGAACGCUGGCGGCAGGCCUAACACAUGCAAGUCGAACGCUCUCUUCGGAGGGAGUGGCGCACGGGUGAGUAACGCGUGGGAACCUACCCAGUAGUACGGAACAACAGUUGGAAACGACUGCUAAUACCGUAUACGCCCUUCGGGGGAAAGAUUUAUCGCUAUUGGAGGGGCCCGCGUUGGAUUAGCUUGUUGGUGAGGUAACGGCUCACCAAGGCGACGAUCCAUAGCUGGUCUGAGAGGAUGAUCAGCCACACUGGGACUUAGACACGGCCCAGACUCCUACGGGAGGCAGCAGUGGGGAAUAUUGCACAAUGGGCGCAAGCCUGAUGCAGCCAUGCCGCGUGAGUGAAGAAGGCCCUAGGGUUGUAAAGCUCUUUCGGCGGGGACGAUAAUGACGGUACCCGCAGAAGAAGCCCCGGCUAACUCCGUG
RNAcentral lists this ribosomal RNA (433 nucleotides) under uncultured bacterium. RNAcentral's name for it is "bacterial SSU rRNA". It matches the Rfam family "Bacterial small subunit ribosomal RNA", at positions 29 to 507 of the family's 1533-position model. The record is from RNAcentral.